GUUGGCCCCGGGGAGCCAGGCCCUGGGACUUGGUACCGCGAGCCUCGGGCCGGCCAGCUGACCUUGUCCUUGGCGCCUCUUUCAGAGGCUUCCUCAGGGUGAUUGCCCUAAUCGCAGCCCUGGAGUCCCAGUGGAGGCCUUCGGAUGGCAUGUGCUGUGAACGCUUUGCUGUGCGAGGGCAGGUGCUGUGAACGCUUUGCUGUGUCCUCCGCCUCUUUGCUGGAAGUGAAGGAAACUGGGACCCUUACAGAUGCAAAAUGGUGUAGAGCUCUGGACCAGGCAUCACUGAAUGCCACUCCCUGUGGGGACAUCUCAUUAAACUACUGGGACAGACAGUCAUCCACAGUGCUCUCCAUGAAGCACACAUGCAUCUGCUAAGCAUAAACCACUCUGGGCCACCCCAGUGGAGACUGAAC
This is a long non-coding RNA of Lepus europaeus (European hare), 416 nucleotides long. RefSeq lists it as uncharacterized. NCBI's taxonomy places the organism in Eukaryota, Metazoa, Chordata, Mammalia, Lagomorpha, Leporidae. The record is from RefSeq and is a predicted model, not a curated record. The transcript has 3 exons.